GGGUUGUGAGGUUAAGCGACUAAGCGUACACGGUGGAUGCCCUGGCAGUCAGAGGCGAUGAAGGACGUGCUAAUCUGCGAUAAGCGUCGGUAAGGUGAUAUGAACCGUUAUAACCGGCGAUUUCCGAAUGGGGAAACCCAGUGUGAUUCGUCACACUAUCAUUAACUGAAUCCAUAGGUUAAUGAGGCGAACCGGGGGAACUGAAACAUCUAAGUACCCCGAGGAAAAGAAAUCAACCGAGAUUCCCCCAGUAGCGGCGAGCGAACGGGGAGGAGCCCAGAGCCUGAAUCAGUGUGUGUGUUAGUGGAAGCGUCUGGAAAGGCGCGCGAUACAGGGUGACAGCCCCGUACACAAAAAUGCACAUGCUGUGAGCUCGAUGAGUAGGGCGGGACACGUGGUAUCCUGUCUGAAUAUGGGGGGACCAUCCUCCAAGGCUAAAUACUCCUGACUGACCGAUAGUGAACCAGUACCGUGAGGGAAAGGCGAAAAGAACCCCGGCGAGGGGAGUGAAAAAGAACCUGAAACCGUGUACGUACAAGCAGUGGGAGCACAGAGCAAUCUGUGUGACUGCGUACCUUUUGUAUAAUGGGUCAGCGACUUAUAUUCUGUAGCAAGGUUAACCGAAUAGGGGAGCCGAAGGGAAACCGAGUCUUAACUGGGCGUUAAGUUGCAGGGUAUAGACCCGAAACCCGGUGAUCUAGCCAUGGGCAGGUUGAAGGUUGGGUAACACUAACUGGAGGACCGAACCGACUAAUGUUGAAAAAUUAGCGGAUGACUUGUGGCUGGGGGUGAAAGGCCAAUCAAACCGGGAGAUAGCUGGUUCUCCCCGAAAGCUAUUUAGGUAGCGCCUCGUGAAUUCAUCUCCGGGGGUAGAGCACUGUUUCGGCAAGGGGGUCAUCCCGACUUACCAACCCGAUGCAAACUGCGAAUACCGGAGAAUGUUAUCACGGGAGACACACGGCGGGUGCUAACGUCCGUCGUGAAGAGGGAAACAACCCAGACCGCCAGCUAAGGUCCCAAAGUCAUGGUUAAGUGGGAAACGAUGUGGGAAGGCCCAGACAGCCAGGAUGUUGGCUUAGAAGCAGCCAUCAUUUAAAGAAAGCGUAAUAGCUCACUGGUCGAGUCGGCCUGCGCGGAAGAUGUAACGGGGCUAAACCAUGCACCGAAGCUGCGGCAGCGACACUAUGUGUUGUUGGGUAGGGGAGCGUUCUGUAAGCCUGCGAAGGUGUGCUGUGAGGCAUGCUGGAGGUAUCAGAAGUGCGAAUGCUGACAUAAGUAACGAUAAAGCGGGUGAAAAGCCCGCUCGCCGGAAGACCAAGGGUUCCUGUCCAACGUUAAUCGGGGCAGGGUGAGUCGACCCCUAAGGCGAGGCCGAAAGGCGUAGUCGAUGGGAAACAGGUUAAUAUUCCUGUACUUGGUGUUACUGCGAAGGGGGGACGGAGAAGGCUAUGUUGGCCGGGCGACGGUUGUCCCGGUUUAAGCGUGUAGGCUGGUUUUCCAGGCAAAUCCGGAAAAUCAAGGCUGAGGCGUGAUGACGAGGCACUACGGUGCUGAAGCAACAAAUGCCCUGCUUCCAGGAAAAGCCUCUAAGCAUCAGGUAACAUCAAAUCGUACCCCAAACCGACACAGGUGGUCAGGUAGAGAAUACCAAGGCGCUUGAGAGAACUCGGGUGAAGGAACUAGGCAAAAUGGUGCCGUAACUUCGGGAGAAGGCACGCUGAUAUGUAGGUGAAGUCCCUCGCGGAUGGAGCUGAAAUCAGUCGAAGAUACCAGCUGGCUGCAACUGUUUAUUAAAAACACAGCACUGUGCAAACACGAAAGUGGACGUAUACGGUGUGACGCCUGCCCGGUGCCGGAAGGUUAAUUGAUGGGGUUAGCGCAAGCGAAGCUCUUGAUCGAAGCCCCGGUAAACGGCGGCCGUAACUAUAACGGUCCUAAGGUAGCGAAAUUCCUUGUCGGGUAAGUUCCGACCUGCACGAAUGGCGUAAUGAUGGCCAGGCUGUCUCCACCCGAGACUCAGUGAAAUUGAACUCGCUGUGAAGAUGCAGUGUACCCGCGGCAAGACGGAAAGACCCCGUGAACCUUUACUAUAGCUUGACACUGAACAUUGAGCCUUGAUGUGUAGGAUAGGUGGGAGGCUUUGAAGUGUGGACGCCAGUCUGCAUGGAGCCGACCUUGAAAUACCACCCUUUAAUGUUUGAUGUUCUAACGUUGACCCGUAAUCCGGGUUGCGGACAGUGUCUGGUGGGUAGUUUGACUGGGGCGGUCUCCUCCUAAAGAGUAACGGAGGAGCACGAAGGUUGGCUAAUCCUGGUCGGACAUCAGGAGGUUAGUGCAAUGGCAUAAGCCAGCUUGACUGCGAGCGUGACGGCGCGAGCAGGUGCGAAAGCAGGUCAUAGUGAUCCGGUGGUUCUGAAUGGAAGGGCCAUCGCUCAACGGAUAAAAGGUACUCCGGGGAUAACAGGCUGAUACCGCCCAAGAGUUCAUAUCGACGGCGGUGUUUGGCACCUCGAUGUCGGCUCAUCACAUCCUGGGGCUGAAGUAGGUCCCAAGGGUAUGGCUGUUCGCCAUUUAAAGUGGUACGCGAGCUGGGUUUAGAACGUCGUGAGACAGUUCGGUCCCUAUCUGCCGUGGGCGCUGGAGAAUUGAGGGGGGCUGCUCCUAGUACGAGAGGACCGGAGUGGACGCAUCACUGGUGUUCGGGUUGUCAUGCCAAUGGCACUGCCCGGUAGCUAAAUGCGGAAGAGAUAAGUGCUGAAAGCAUCUAAGCACGAAACUUGCCCCGAGAUGAGUUCUCCCUGACUCCUUGAGAGUCCUGAAGGAACGUUGAAGACGACGACGUUGAUAGGCCGGGUGUGUAAGCGCAGCGAUGCGUUGAGCUAACCGGUACUAAUGAACCGUGAGGCUUAACCUUACAACGCCGAAGGUGUUU
RNAcentral lists this ribosomal RNA (2932 nucleotides) under Escherichia coli. Its description in RNAcentral is "23S ribosomal RNA". It matches the Rfam family "Bacterial large subunit ribosomal RNA". The record is from RNAcentral. Lineage: Bacteria; Pseudomonadati; Pseudomonadota; Gammaproteobacteria; Enterobacterales; Enterobacteriaceae.